ACUCAAAAAAUCCUAAAAUUUCU
RNAcentral lists this small nuclear RNA (23 nucleotides) under Arabidopsis thaliana (thale cress). Its description in RNAcentral is "snRNA_11953". Lineage: Eukaryota; Viridiplantae; Streptophyta; Magnoliopsida; Brassicales; Brassicaceae. The record is from RNAcentral.